This 253-nucleotide ribosomal RNA is filed under the name uncultured bacterium. Its description in RNAcentral is "partial 16S ribosomal RNA". It matches the Rfam family "Bacterial small subunit ribosomal RNA", at positions 524 to 776 of the family's 1533-position model. The record is from RNAcentral.
UACGUAGGGUGCAGGCGUUAAUCGGAAUUACUGGGCGUAAAGCGUGCGCAGGCGGCUUCCUAAGUCAGAUGUGAAAUCCCCGGGCUUAACCUGGGAACUGCGUUUGAAACUGGGAGGCUGGAGUGCGGCAGAGGGGGGUGGAAUUCCACGUGUAGCAGUGAAAUGCGUAGAUAUGUGGAGGAACACCGAUGGCGAAGGCAGCCCCCUGGGCCUGCACUGACGCUCAUGCACGAAAGCGUGGGGAGCAAACAGG